UACCACUUCCAAGGAAGGCAGCAGGCGCGUAAAUUACCCAAUGAUAAUUCUUUGAGGUAGCGACGAAAAAUAUCAAUGUAUUAUCUAUUUGAUAAUAUGUUUGAAAUGAGAUCAAUUUAAAAUCCUUAACAAGGAACGAUUGGAGGGCAAGUCUGGUGCCAGCAGCCGCGGUAAUUCCAGCUCCAAUAGCUAGUGUUAAAGUUGUUGCAGUUAAAAAGCUCGUAGUUGGAUUUUAUAAAAWAACCUGUUUACUUUGAAAAAAUUAGAGUGUUCAAAACAGAUUCAUUUAGAGUCUUGAAUAAAAUUAGCAUGGUAUAAUAUAAAAUGGAUUCUGAUUUAAAUAUUUUCCAUUAAAAAAGGUUUAUUUAUAAAAAAACUUUAAAGUUUUUUUUUCUUUAAACAGAAUUUUAAUUAGAUUAGAAUAACGAUUAAUAGGGAUAGUUGGGGUCACUCAUAUUCAAUUGUCAGAGGUGAAAUUCUAGGAUUAAUUGAAGAUGAACUAAUGCGAAAGCAUUUGACAAGGAUGUUUUCAUUAAUCAAGAACGAAAGUUGGGGGAUCGAAGAUGAUCAGAUACCGUCGUAGUCCCAACCCUAAAUUAUGUGAACCUAGGAUCUAUAGGUGAUAAAAUCAUAUGUCCCCCUGGGCACUAAAGUGAGAAAUCAUAAGUAUUUGCAUUCCGGGGGGAGUAUGGUCGCAAGGCUGAAACUUAAAGGAAUUGACGGAAGGGCACCACCAGGAGUGGAACCUGCGG
This 752-nucleotide ribosomal RNA is filed under the name Heleopera sphagni. RNAcentral describes it as "partial 18S ribosomal RNA". It matches the Rfam family "Eukaryotic small subunit ribosomal RNA", at positions 410 to 1199 of the family's 1831-position model. Lineage: Eukaryota; Tubulinea; Elardia; Arcellinida; Heleoperidae. The record is from RNAcentral.